GAGUUUGAUUCUGGCUCAGAUUGAACGCUGGCGGCAUGCUUUACACAUGCAAGUCGAACGGCAGCACGAGUGCUUGCACUUGGUGGCGAGUGGCGAACGGGUGAGUAAUGCAUUGGAACGUGCCUUGUAUUGGGGGAUAACUGAGCGAAAGCUUAGCUAAUACCGCAUACGCCCUGAUGGGGAAAGCUGGGGAUCGUUUGACCUGGCGAUAUAAGAGCGGCCAAUGUCUGAUUAGCUAGUUGGUGAGGUAAAGGCUUACCAAGGCGACGAUCAGUAGCGGGUCUGAGAGGAUGAUCCGCCACACUGGGACUGAGAGACGGCCCAGACUCCUACGGGAGGCAGCAGUGGGGAAUUUUGGACAAUGGGGGGAACCCUGAUCCAGCCAUGCCGCGUGUCUGAAGAAGGCCUUCGGGUNGUAAAGGACUUUUGUUGGGGAGCAAAGGUAUCUGGUUAAGAGCUGAGAUAUGAGA
Molecule: ribosomal RNA, 470 nt
Filed under: Aquaspirillum sp. canine oral taxon 091
Lineage: Bacteria; Pseudomonadati; Pseudomonadota; Betaproteobacteria; Neisseriales; Aquaspirillaceae
Description: bacterial SSU rRNA
Rfam family: Bacterial small subunit ribosomal RNA
Source: RNAcentral